AGGAUCAAGAGUUCAAACUCCAAGCAGGGACCUAAAUAAAUGUCUUUCUAUGGCCUGUUGGCCAUUUCAGAAAUUUAAAAAUGUAAUGUUCAAUUCAUUAGAAAGAAACAUCU
This is a small nucleolar RNA of Mus pahari (shrew mouse), 113 nucleotides long. NCBI's taxonomy places the organism in Eukaryota, Metazoa, Chordata, Mammalia, Rodentia, Muridae. The record is from RefSeq and is a predicted model, not a curated record.